CUAUCACUCCUACGGGAGGCAGCAGUGGGGAAUAUUGCACAAUGGGGGAAACCCUGAUGCAGCCAUGCCGCGUGUGUGAAGAAGGCCUUCGGGUUGUAAAGCACUUUCAGUAGGGAGGAAGGUAGUGUAGUUAACACCUGCAUUAUUUGACGUUACCUACAGAAGAAGCACCGGCUAACUCCGUGCCAGCAGCCGCGGUAAUACGGAGGGUGCGAGCGUUAAUCGGAAUUACUGGGCGUAAAGCGCAUGCAGGCGGCCUGUUAAGUCAGUAUGUGAAAGCCCGGGGCUUAACCUCGGAAUUGCAUUUGAAACUGGCAGGCUAGAGUCUUGUAGAGGGGGUAGAAUUUCAGGUGUAGCGGUGAAAUGCGUAGAGAUCUGAAGGAAUACCAGUGGCGAAGGCGGCCCCCUGGACAAAGACUGACGCUCAGAUGCGAAAGCGUGGGGAGCAAACAGGAUUAGAUACCCUGGUAG
Molecule: ribosomal RNA, 471 nt
Filed under: uncultured bacterium
Lineage: Bacteria
Description: bacterial SSU rRNA
Rfam family: Bacterial small subunit ribosomal RNA
Source: RNAcentral